Molecule: long non-coding RNA, 783 nt
Organism: Equus quagga
Lineage: Eukaryota; Metazoa; Chordata; Mammalia; Perissodactyla; Equidae
Exons: 5
Source: RefSeq, a predicted model, not a curated record
CUCUUUGGCCCUCUCUGAGCUUACACAAGUGGAGCAACAUUCCUGCGGUCAUCCAAACACGGCAGGCACUCAGCUCGUUCCACACGAGGCGUUCUGGCUAGAAAAUGCUGCCUCGAGGAAACUGGAAUCCUGUGUACUCUGACAACACAGAGACGGUCCCUCGGCGUGCUCCACGAGGGUAAGACAGGCCUAAUAGAAGAUGUUCUGGCAUGUCAAAACAGCGAACCAUCAGCCAUCGCCUCUUCCCAAGUUUGAGAACAUAUUUUUCUUUCACGUGUUUAAGAAUUUUGAGAUCCAGCCUAACACUGAAGACUCAUUUCCACCAUCGCACACCUUCUGCAGUUCUCUCUCCUGCUGGGGAUGUCGUAGAGGAGGCAGGAGGCUGUGUCUAUGGAGCUGGCCAGCAGCAGGGGCCCAUUACUCAGAAGAUGCUGAAGAGGAUCCAGACAGGAUGAAACUCUUACCAGGGCACGGUGGACAAGGAUGGACGUCACCAGCUUCCCAUUCUGCAUAACCUGGAAGUCAGUCCCUGCCUUUAGAUUUGACUACUCUCUUGGUAUUGAGAUGUUGACCGAUCAUUAUCUACAGCCUGGCUUCUUCCAUAGUCUCAUCCUGCAGCAUGUGUGAUUGAACAGAAUUCUCAUUGUAACAUGUGUUUAAAGCUGAAAGAUGACCUGUGACAACUUUCCUCUGUCUUUACAAUCUUCUGCACAUGUGACGUGACUAGUGCUCCCCUUAGAAGGACGGCAUGCAGUGUUUGCUGAUGAAGUGAAACGUGCCUGG